RNAcentral lists this ribosomal RNA (255 nucleotides) under uncultured bacterium. Its description in RNAcentral is "partial 16S ribosomal RNA". It matches the Rfam family "Bacterial small subunit ribosomal RNA", at positions 524 to 776 of the family's 1533-position model. The record is from RNAcentral.
UACAGAGGUCUCAAGCGUUGUUCGGAUUCAUUGGGCGUAAAGGGUGUGCAGGCGGUUUUGUUAGUCCUUCGUGAAAGCUCUUGGGCUCAACCCAGGAAACGCGGUGGAAACGGCAAAACUAAGAGGACGCGAGAGGUAGAGGGAACUCAUGGUGUAGGGGUGAAAUCCGUUGAUAUCAUGGGGAACACCAAAUGCGAAGGCACUCUACUGGCGCGCUCCUGACGCUCAUACACGAAAGCGUGGGAAUCGAACGGG